CCUACGGGAGGCUGCAGUGGGGAAUCUUGCACAAUGGGGGAAACCCUGAUGCAGCGACGCCGCGUGAGCGAUGAAGCCCUUCGGGGUGUAAAGCUCUUUCGACGGGAACGAUAAUGACGGUACCCGGAGAAGAAGCUGCGGCUAACUACGUGCCAGCAGCCGCGGUAAUACGUAGGCAGCAAACGUUGUUCGGAAUUACUGGGCGUAAAGAGUGUGUAGGCGGUUGGGUAAGUUUGGUGUGAAAUCUCCCGGCUUAACUGGGAGGGUGCGCCGAAAACUGCCUGGCUUGAGUACUGGAGAGGAUAGCGGAAUUCCUGGUGUAGCGGUGAAAUGCGUAGAUAUCAGGAGGAACACCUGCGGUGUAGACGGCUGUCUGGACAGUAACUGACGCUGAGACACGAAAGCGUGGGGAGCAAACAGGAUUAGAUACCCGAGUAGUC
RNAcentral lists this ribosomal RNA (440 nucleotides) under uncultured bacterium. Its description in RNAcentral is "bacterial SSU rRNA". It matches the Rfam family "Bacterial small subunit ribosomal RNA", at positions 338 to 795 of the family's 1533-position model. The record is from RNAcentral.